Molecule: transfer RNA, 109 nt
Filed under: Streptomyces sp. SID14515
Lineage: Bacteria; Bacillati; Actinomycetota; Actinomycetes; Kitasatosporales; Streptomycetaceae
Description: tRNA-Arg
Source: RNAcentral
GCACACGAGGCCCACCCGACCCGACUAUCGGCGACCCCGAUCUGACUACGGAUCACCGGUCAUCUGACUACGGAUCAGAUGGUUGCGGGUUCGAAUCCUGCCGAGUGCA